AUAUGAUAAUUAGGCCAGUUCUAAUUUGUCGCAAUGUAUUAGAAUCGAAUUGCACAUAGCCCGCAUAAUAAUAGCUGUGACUCGAAAUCGGUUGAACCAUUUCUAAAAUCAAACAUGAAUAUUUAAGAUAGAAAAGAAAUAUUAAUUACAGCCAAGAAACGUUAAAUUCGGAUAUAUCAGGCCAGUCGCACAGCAGAUUCCUAGCAAACUGUGGUAACUCUGUUAUAAUCUUGGGAUGAUCGCAGCGCUAUUCCUGGGUAUUAUCUUACAGGUGUCUGCUUUAUAAGCUGUCGAUGUGAGAUUAUGCGCCUACACAGACGUAACGGGAAAGGUUCGAUUCCGGAGAGAAAGCCUGAGAAAAGGCUAUCAGAUCCAAAGGAGGCAGAAGGCGCACAGCUGCCCACUUCAAGAACGAGAAGAGAGUGGCAAAAAAUUCCUAAAGAAAUCAUUUGAAAUGGCGUAAAUGAAAUAAAUACACUCUAAAUCCUUAACAAGGAUCAGUUGAGGGCAAGUUUGGUGCCGGAAGUUGCAGAACUCCUAAAUCGUAU
Molecule: non-coding RNA, 548 nt
Filed under: Stegodyphus mimosarum
Lineage: Eukaryota; Metazoa; Arthropoda; Arachnida; Araneae; Eresidae
Description: Eukaryotic small subunit ribosomal RNA
Rfam family: Eukaryotic small subunit ribosomal RNA
Source: Rfam by way of RNAcentral